CGAGAAGUGAGCGUGAGUGUGAAGCGAGAUACGCCGUUACGCGAGGGACAUCAAAAAGGGGGAAACUGGCGGAAUCGGCGCACUCAACGCGCGGAGGUGUGUCGUUCCGAGCUCCGGCCGCACGUGACGCGGACCGUGUCUCUGGUGUCGCUUCUCUCUCUUUUAGGCCCGCUCAUGGUCAAUAAUAUUGCACAGUAAUAUUGCACAAUAAGUUUGUGCCAUGGAGCGAUAAUUGAAAGAAGAGGAAAAGGUUUUGGAAAAUGUACAACUGAAAACAAAGGGUAACCAAGGUCCAAUUAAAACAUGUUGGAAAAGACCAAUUUGCUCCGGGCGAGGCACAGAAAAGUGAAGACGACAGCUCCGAAUUUCAGUUGAGGGCGAUGAAGUUCUAUUACCUUUAAAACAUUUUAAGGAAGUGGAACAGAAAGGAAUCAUCAAGCCUAAGCUUAUUCGGGUCCCAGCAAUGCUCAGGGUUGUGAGAAAAAGUAUGCGAACAUGGAAUAUGAAUGUGAAUUGGCCAAACAGAAAUACGACAGGAGGAGCUCCAACUGCCCGGAAAUUCGAAGCUGUUUUGCAAUCGUGCCAGUUUCCGAGUCGUUGAAAAUGUUUUCCCGAAAAAAUAUCCCAAUUGCAAAUAUCUAAACUUAAAAUAUCUGAAUGGGAAUAUUUCUCCAUUGGAAUUAUCCCAAUUGAAAAUACCUCAAUUAGAAAUGGAUAAACUUUCGAACAGCCCAUACCUCUGAUUGAUCUGAAAUUAUUUUAAAAAUAUAUUUUUAAAUCACAUAUUUUUAAAAUCCUUUGGGCUUUUCGUCCUGAGAUGUUCCAUUUUUUGAGAUUUGCUGUCAACGCCGAUUCAAAGGGUGCCAUUUUCAAUACACAAUUGUACAAAAAAAUACCAUGAAAAAAAUUAAAAGAAAAAAAUUUUCCAGCACUUCUGAGUAUGUAAAAGAUGUGUGCAAGGUUUUAUUUAAAUCCAUCCAGCCAAUUUUUAUGUAUUUGCAUUACGAGUUUUCGAAAAAACGCUAUUUUUUUCGGUUUUUCUUCAGAUUUAUCCCUUAAUAAUUGAUCGAUCGGGUUUUUUCAGGACUCAUUCCCUUUGUAUUUUAUAUCUCUACAUUUCGUCCGUUGGGACCAUUUACAUCGCUCCAUCGGUUUUCCUUUUAUAACCAAAAAACCAAAAAAAUGCAAUUUUUUGCACUAAAUUGAUAAUAAAAAAAAAGAAAAUGGGAAUCUCGAGUACGUUUUUGUGUAGCUAGGUCCUCGGGGCUAUUCCGCGUGUGAAGGCACCGGUCGUUAUCCGUUACCAUUUUUGACAAAAUCUGCUGAUUUUAGAACAUUCACGCUUGGCCUAAACAGCGUCUCACCGACGACUGCAACGACUUAACAUUUGUUGUUUACGCUUACAUACGUUAAACUACGAAGCAAGCAGGAACGUGCGUGGAUUGGAGUGAUAAGAGCUGUCCGCAUUAAUUGUCAGCUGAAUGAGGUAGUAGAUUUAUGUUUCUCGCUCUCAGAAAUCAUUUUGUUGUGAAUGACUUUUCCAGAAAAUCAACUCACGAGUUAACUUCAUAUUUAACUUUUAUUUGAAUGAGCAAUUUGAAUAAAAAGUUAUGGGCCGGGCCAGACGAGUACUUUUAACAUACCAAUCCAUUCGACGUCGAAUUUGCGAAUGAUACUUCCCAGGGAAUUCUGAAAGUCAGAGAAGAAUCGAUUUUCUUAUAAUUCCUUAAUUUCGUAAGCAAGUUGUUUUUCACAAAAAAAAUUCUAACUGCUCGUUUUGUGUUGGCUCAGGAAAACCUAUAAAGAUAACUUUAGAAUGUUUUGUAUAACAAUAUUUCAUUUUCAUAUCGUAGAUCGUUCGUUAUCAUUCAAGCGGCAUUUCACAUUUUAAUAUUCGAAAAUAGAAUAAAGAAAAAGUAUUCCGAAAAGAUAAAAAAAAAACGCCAUGUUCAUGCAAAAUAGCAUUCAAUUGAGGCAACAGAAAUACUUUAAAAGGAAUAAAUUGCAUUCAAAUAAUAUACUUAUGAUACAUGUCUAGUCCUUAAAAUGGUUCAAUGUAUUGGGCUAACAAAUAAAGAGGCUUAAAAUCACA
Long non-coding RNA from Venturia canescens, 2092 nucleotides. RefSeq lists it as uncharacterized. The record is from RefSeq and is a predicted model, not a curated record. The transcript has 2 exons. NCBI's taxonomy places the organism in Eukaryota, Metazoa, Arthropoda, Insecta, Hymenoptera, Ichneumonidae.